RNAcentral lists this transfer RNA (65 nucleotides) under Marmota monax (woodchuck). RNAcentral's name for it is "tRNA.Ala". The record is from RNAcentral. Lineage: Eukaryota; Metazoa; Chordata; Mammalia; Rodentia; Sciuridae.
GGUUGAGCUCAGCGGUUGAGUGUUCGCCUAGCAUGGGUGGGACCUGGGUUCGACUCUCAGCACCA